CUUGCCUCUAGAGGCAUGUCAGAUGUUCCUGCUCUGUCACAUGUGUGUCACUAGGUGGCCAAGAAGAGAAAAUCUAUGACGUUUAGUGUUCUGAUCUACAGACAUUGGGACAAUUAAUAGCCUAGCAUU
This is a small nucleolar RNA of Grammomys surdaster, 129 nucleotides long. RefSeq annotates it as small nucleolar RNA SNORA17. The transcript has a single exon. Lineage: Eukaryota; Metazoa; Chordata; Mammalia; Rodentia; Muridae. The record is from RefSeq and is a predicted model, not a curated record.